Non-coding RNA from Angiostrongylus cantonensis (rat lungworm), 73 nucleotides. NCBI's taxonomy places the organism in Eukaryota, Metazoa, Nematoda, Chromadorea, Rhabditida, Metastrongylidae. The record is from Rfam.
GGUCCUGUGGUGUAGUGGUUAUCACGUCUGCUUCACACACAGAAGGUCUCCGGUUCGACCCCGGGAGAGAUCU